GACGAACGCUGGCGGCGUGCUUAACACAUGCAAGUCGAACGGUGAACCUCUUCGGAGGGGAUCAGUGGCGAACGGGUGAGUAACACGUGGGCAACCUGCCCCCGGCUCUGGGAUAACUCCAAGAAAUUGGGGCUAAUACCGGAUGUUCACCGCUUCCCGCAUGGGUGGUGGUGGAAAGGGUUUCCGGCUGGGGAUGGGCCCGCGGCCUAUCAGCUUGUUGGUGGGGUAGUGGCCUACCAAGGCGACGACGGGUAGCCGGCCUGAGAGGGUGACCGGCCACCCUGGGACUGAGACACGGCCCAGACUCCUACGGGAGGCAGCAGUGGGGAAUAUUGCGCAAUGGGCGGAAGCCUGACGCAGCGACGCCGCGUGGGGGAUGACGGCCUUCGGGUUGUAAACCUCUUUCAGCAGGGACGAAGCGCAAGUGACGGUACCUGCAGAAGAAGCACCGGCCAACUACGUG
This 463-nucleotide ribosomal RNA is filed under the name uncultured bacterium. RNAcentral's name for it is "partial 16S ribosomal RNA". It matches the Rfam family "Bacterial small subunit ribosomal RNA", at positions 28 to 507 of the family's 1533-position model. The record is from RNAcentral.